CCGGACGAAAGGGUAACCCGGAGGUGCUCUUUCCGCGCUAACCAGUCUGGGGAGAUUUCAGCAGGUCAUGCAGUCUUGACCGCAGCCCAGCCAGGGACCUGGCGUCACCAAGUCCUGGUCUUUGACAUUUGCUGCACCUUAGAGUCACCAGGGGCAGCUAUUACAAGUCUCAGUGCCUAGAGUACACCCCAAGUCGGUGAAAUCAGACACUGGGGAAAUGAGGCACAAGCCUUAGUAUUUAUAAAAACACCCCAGAAAAUUCCAAAGAGCAGCUAAGUUUGUGUGGAAGAAACAGUGACCCUGUCUUCUGGGUCUUAGACAGCCUCUGGAAUAUGAAGAAAGGUCUUAGAAGGAGAUGAAAAUGAGUAUUUUACCAAAAUGAAAUUGAAAGAAGAAACAACUAAAGGAAAAGAAAAAAAUAAAAGAAUGAGAGAAAGUAAAAAAUACAUACAUAGAAAAUAACGUAAAGUAACAGACAAGAUUUUGUGGGUGAAAAACUAGACAAGCAAUUCAGGUAGUGUAAUCCAAAUCUAGAAAAAUAUACAUUGAGAAUCUGAAAUGUAUAGAUUAAAGAAUAUUUCAAAAUGGCAAUUUACAGUAAAUUAUAGCCUUAGAGAGUAUGUUAAUCAAUGAAUGACACCAUUAUCAGUAUUUGUGCUCUUGUGUUCUGACCUGGCCUACACUGAGAAUGAAAGUUCCAAGUAUGUUAGAAUCUAAUCUUGGCUUUGCUGUUGGCAGAAAGUACCUGGAAGUACUAAAGGAAAGUGAGGACAAUGUUAUCAGUAGCUGGAGGAAGGAGGACCCUUGUUAUGUACUGGUUGAAAGUAAAGCAAAAUGGAGGCCAAGGCGGGUGGAUCACAAGGUCAGGAGAUCGAGACCAUCCUGGCUAACACGGUGAAACCCCGUCUCUACUAAAAAUACAAAAAAUUAGCCGAGCACGGUGGCAGGCGCCUGUAGUCCCAGCUACUCGGGAGGCUGAGGCAGGAGAAUGGCGUGAACCCGAGAGGUGGAGCUUACAGUGAGCCGAGAUCGCGCCACUGCACUCCAGCCUGGGUGACAGAGCGAGACACUGUCUCCAAAAAAAAAAAAAAAAAAGAAAAAAAAAGAAAGUAAAGCAAAAUGGUCAGCUGCCAUCACAUGAAAAAUAGAAAUUUUUACUUAAUGCAAUGGAUGAUCUAGCUAAGGAGAUUUCUAGACAGGGUGCUAAAAUUUUGUCCUCAGCCUCUCCAGGACAAGCAAUGAUAAAAUUAAGAAAUAACUUUAGGAGGCCAGGUGCAGUGGCUCAUGCCUGUAAUCCCAGCACUUUGGGAGGCCGAGGUAGGGGGAUCGCCUGAGGUUGGGAGUUCAAGACCAGCCUGACCAACAUGGAGAAAACUCGUCUCUACUAAAAGUACAAAAUUAGCCCGGCGUGGUGGCACAUGCCUUUAAUCCCAGCUACUUGGGAGGCUGAGGCAGGAGAAUCGCUUGAAUCCAGGUGGCAGAAUUUGCAAUGAGCUGAGAUCGUACCAUUGCACUCUGGCCGUGGGCAACGAGAGCGAAACUCCUUUUCAAAAAAAGAAGAAAGAAGAAGAAGAAGAAGAGGAAGAAGAGGAAGAGGAAGAAGAAGAAGAAAGAAAGAAGAAGAAGGAAGAAGAAGGAAGAAGGAG
This 1646-nucleotide long non-coding RNA is filed under the name Homo sapiens (human). Its description in RNAcentral is "HSALNT0251216". The record is from RNAcentral. Lineage: Eukaryota; Metazoa; Chordata; Mammalia; Primates; Hominidae.